GACGUAGGGCGCGAGCGUUGUCCGGAUUUAUUGGGCGUAAAGAGCUCGUAGGCGGCUCGUUGCGUCGGCUGUGAAAACCCGCAGCUCAACUGUGGGCUUGCAGCUGAUACGGGCGGGCUGGAGUUCGGUAGGGGAGACUGGAAUUCCUGGUGUAGCGGUGAAAUGCGCAGAUAUCAGGAGGAACACCAGCGGCGAAGGCGGCGCUCUGGGCCGGUACUGACACUGAGGAGCGAAAGCGUGGGGAUCAAACAGG
RNAcentral lists this ribosomal RNA (253 nucleotides) under uncultured bacterium. RNAcentral's name for it is "partial 16S ribosomal RNA". It matches the Rfam family "Bacterial small subunit ribosomal RNA", at positions 524 to 776 of the family's 1533-position model. The record is from RNAcentral.